GGCGAACGGGUGAGUAACACGUGGGCAACCUGCCCCUCGCAGGGGGACAACCGGAGGAAACUCCGGCUAAUACCCCGUACGCUUGUUGGAUCGCAUGGUUCGGCAAGGAAAGGUAGCUUCGGCCAUCCGGCGAGGGAUGGGCCCGCGUUGCAUUAGCUAGUUGGUGGGGUGACGGCCUACCAAGGCGACGAUGCGUAGCUGGUCUGAGAGGAUGAUCAGCCACACUGGGACUGAGACACGGCCCAGACUCCUACGGGAGGCAGCAGCCAGGAAUCUUGGGCAAUGGGCGAAAGCCUGACCCAGCAACACCGUGUGGGCGAUGAAGGCCUUAGGGUCGUAAAGCCCUGUUGAUAGGGACGAAGGGCGAAGGGUUAAUAGCCCCUAGCUUGACGGUACCUUUCGAGGAAGCCCCGGCUAACUACGUGCCAGCAGCCGCGGUAAUACGUAGGGGGCGAGCGUUGUCCGGAAUUAUUGGGCGUAAAGAGCGUGUAGGCGGUUCGGUAAGUCUGCUGUGAAAUCCUGGGGCUCAACCCUGGGCGUGCAGCGGAUACUGCCGGGCUAGAGGGUGGUAGAGGCGAGUGGAAUUCCGAGUGUAGCGGUGAAAUGCGCAGAUAUUCGGAGGAACACCAGUAGCGAAGGCGGCUCGCUGGGCCACACCUGACGCUGAGACGCGAAAGCGUGGGGAGCGAACAGGAUUAGAUACCCUGGUAGUCCACGCCGUAAACGAUGGAUACUGGGUGUGGGGGGAGUCGAAUCCCUCUGUGCCGAAGUUAACGCGUUAAGUAUCCCGCCUGGGGAGUACGGCCGCAAGGCUAAAACUCAAAAGAAUUGACGG
Molecule: ribosomal RNA, 835 nt
Filed under: uncultured bacterium
Lineage: Bacteria
Description: bacterial SSU rRNA
Rfam family: Bacterial small subunit ribosomal RNA
Source: RNAcentral